AACGAACGCUGGCGGCGUGCCUAACACAUGCAAGUCGUGCGAGAAAGUUCCUUCGGGAGCGAGUAAAGCGGCGCACGGGUGAGUAACACGUAGGUAACCUGCCCCCCAGUCUGGAACAACUAGAGGAAACUCUAGCUAAUGCCGGAUGAGACCACGAUCCCUUCGGGGGUUGCGGCCAAAGAUGGCCUCUACUUGUAAGCUAUCGCUGAGGGAUGGGCCUGCGGGCCAUUAGCUUGUUGGUGAGGUAACGGCUCACCAAGGCUGUGAUGGCUAGCUGGUCUGAGAGGAUGACCAGCCACACUGGGACUGAGACACGGCCCAGACUCCUACGGAGGCAGCAGUGGGAAUAUUGCGCAAUGGGCGAAAGCCUGACGCA
Molecule: ribosomal RNA, 376 nt
Filed under: uncultured bacterium
Lineage: Bacteria
Description: bacterial SSU rRNA
Rfam family: Bacterial small subunit ribosomal RNA
Source: RNAcentral